UUGACCUUCCUCGGCCGCCUCUCUUCUAAACCGAGACGAGUUCGUUUACAUGAUGGGUCUCGUCAAGGGGCACAAUCUAUCUCCAACAAUAAACUCCCCUCCUUCAGUUCAUUGCAAGAGACAAAAUCGAUCUCGAUAAAUUAGAUAGAAUGGGCCGAUAAUGUAAACAAACUAGGCGUUAUGCAUCUUUCAAAUUAUGUUUUUGUUCUUAGUUGACAUCUCGGCGAUCACGGGAUGCGAUCUUGGUUUUCCAAGUUUAAUUUGGUUCAAAACUAAACCAGAAGCGGUUUGAUUUCAAACUGUUUUUCCAGGUUUUUGAAAAGUAGAAUUGUUGCCUCCCCGAAAUGCGGAACGUAGCCUCUCUUCUGGGUCCAGU
Molecule: long non-coding RNA, 376 nt
Filed under: Brassica napus (rape)
Lineage: Eukaryota; Viridiplantae; Streptophyta; Magnoliopsida; Brassicales; Brassicaceae
Description: long non-coding RNA (BNAP_LNC009452)
Source: RNAcentral